CCUACGGGAGACAGCAGUGGGGAAUAUUGGGCAAUGGAGGAAACUCUGACGCAGCAACGCCGCGUGAAUGAUGAAGGUCUUCGGAUUGUAAAGUUCUUUUCUAAGGGAAGAAGAAAGUGACGGUACCAUAAGAAUAAGCAUCGGCUAACUACGUGCCAGCAGCCGCGGUAAUAAGUAGGAGGCGAGCGUUAUCCGGAAUGACGGGGGGUAAAGGGUGCGGAGGUGGUUUGGCAAGUUAGUAGCGUAACUCCAAGGCUCAACCUUGGAACUACUACUAAAACUGUUGGACUUGAGUGCAGGAGGGGCAACCGGAAUUCCUAGUGUAGCAGUGGAAUGCGUAGAUAUUAGGAGGAACACCAGUGGCGAAGGCGGGUUGCUGGACUGUAACUGACACUGAGGCACGAAGGCGUGGGGAGCAAACAGGAUUAGAUACCCGAGUAGUC
Molecule: ribosomal RNA, 443 nt
Filed under: uncultured bacterium
Lineage: Bacteria
Description: partial 16S ribosomal RNA
Rfam family: Bacterial small subunit ribosomal RNA
Source: RNAcentral